AUAUAUGAUUCACAUACCAGUCUGAAAGUGCCUGAUCUCGUCAGAUCUCAGAAGUCAUGCAGACUUGGGCCUGCUUAGUACUUGUAUGGGAGACCAACUAGGAACCUCAGGAAGCCGUAUACU
Molecule: ribosomal RNA, 123 nt
Filed under: Pelobates cultripes (western spadefoot toad)
Lineage: Eukaryota; Metazoa; Chordata; Amphibia; Anura; Pelobatidae
Source: RNAcentral